Molecule: ribosomal RNA, 287 nt
Filed under: uncultured bacterium
Lineage: Bacteria
Description: partial 16S ribosomal RNA
Rfam family: Bacterial small subunit ribosomal RNA
Source: RNAcentral
GAUGAACGCUAGCGGCAGGCUUAAUACAUGCAAGUCGAGGGGCAGCAUAAGUAGCAAUACUUGAUGGCGACCGGCAAACGGGUGCGGAACACGUACGCAACCUUCCGUUUAAGCGGGGAAUAGCCCGGGGAAACCCGGAUUAAUACCCCAUAAUAUAUUGAGAAAGCAUUUUCUUUUAUUAAAGAUUUAUCACUUAAAGAUGGGCGUGCGCCUGAUUAGGUAGUUGGGCGGAGUAAUAGCCCACCAAGCCNGCGGAUCAGUAACUGGUGUGAGAGCACGACCAGUCA